GUGGGGAAUAUUGGACAAUGGGCGAAAGCCUGAUCCAGCCAUGCCGCGUGUGUGAAGAAGGUCUUCGGAUUGUAAAGCACUUUAAGUUGGGAGGAAGGGCAGUAAGUUAAUACCUUGCUGUUUUGACGUUACCGACAGAAUAAGCACCGGCUAACUUCGUGCCAGCAGCCGCGGUAAUACGAAGGGUGCAAGCGUUAAUCGGAAUUACUGGGCGUAAAGCGCGCGUAGGUGGUUUUGUAAGUUGGAGGUGAAAUCCCCGGGCUCAACCUGGGAACUGACUACAAAACUGCAUGACUAGAGUACGGUAGAGGGUAGUGGAAUUUCCUGUGUAGCGGUGAAAUGCGUAGAUAUAGGAAGGAACACCAGUGGCGAAGGCGACUACCUGGACUGAUACUGACACUGAGGUGCGAAAGCGUGGGGAGCAAACAGGAUUAGAUACCCGGGUAGUCC
This 450-nucleotide ribosomal RNA is filed under the name uncultured bacterium. RNAcentral describes it as "partial 16S ribosomal RNA". It matches the Rfam family "Bacterial small subunit ribosomal RNA", at positions 354 to 796 of the family's 1533-position model. The record is from RNAcentral.